CUUGCUGUGGACAGAUAAAGUGGAUAUGCGAAUCAAUCCCACCGGCCGUCAGAAUUUGGCCUUCGCCGGCGAUAACUUCUGUGCCUGGACCCACAACAAUAUCAACAUCAGGUUGUACGUCAGGAUUUCCUGCCUUACCAAUUGCUGCGAUACGACCAGCUUUGAUGCCAAGGUCUGCCUUGAUAACCCCCCAGUAAUCCAGAAUCAGCGCAUUGGUAAUUACAACAUCUGCAACUUCUGCUGCCAUCGCUUGGCUUUGACCCAUGCCAUCGCG
This 274-nucleotide small RNA is filed under the name marine eukaryotic metagenome. Its description in RNAcentral is "5' ureB small RNA". It matches the Rfam family "5' ureB small RNA". The record is from RNAcentral.